RNAcentral lists this ribosomal RNA (1372 nucleotides) under uncultured bacterium. RNAcentral describes it as "bacterial SSU rRNA". It matches the Rfam family "Bacterial small subunit ribosomal RNA", at positions 28 to 1381 of the family's 1533-position model. The record is from RNAcentral.
GAUAAACGCUGGCGGCGUGCCUAAUACAUGCAAGUCGAGCGAACGGACGAGAAGCUUGCUUCUCUGAUGUUAGCGGCGGACGGGUGAGUAACACGUGGAUAACCUACCUAUAAGACUGGGAUAACUUCGGGAAACCGGAGCUAAUACCGGAUAAUAUUUUGAACCGCAUGGUUCAAAAGUGAAAGACGGUCUUGCUGUCACUUAUAGAUGGAUCCGCGCUGCAUUAGCUAGUUGGUAAGGUAACGGCUUACCAAGGCAACGAUGCAUAGCCGACCUGAGAGGGUGAUCGGCCACACUGGAACAGAGACACGGUCCAGACUCCUACGGGAGGCAGCAGUAGGGAAUCUUCCGCAAUGGGCGAAAGCCUGACGGAGCAACGCCGCGUGAGUGAUGAAGGUCUUCGGAUCGUAAAACUCUGUUAUUAGGGAAGAACAUAUGUGUAAGUAACUGUGCACAUCUUGACGGUACCUAAUCAGAAAGCCACGGCUAACUACGUGCCAGCAGCCGCGGUAAUACGUAGGUGGCAAGCGUUAUCCGGAAUUAUUGGGCGUAAAGCGCGCGUAGGCGGUUUUUUAAGUCUGAUGUGAAAGCCCACGGCUCAACCGUGGAGGGUCAUUGGAAACUGGAAAACUUGAGUGCAGAAGAGGAAAGUGGAAUUCCAUGUGUAGCGGUGAAAUGCGCAGAGAUAUGGAGGAACACCAGUGGCGAAGGCGACUUUCUGGUCUGUAACUGACGCUGAUGUGCGAAAGCGUGGGGAUCAAACAGGAUUAGAUACCCUGGUAGUCCACGCCGUAAACGAUGAGUGCUAAGUGUUAGGGGGUUUCCGCCCCUUAGUGCUGCAGCUAACGCAUUAAGCACUCCGCCUGGGGAGUACGACCGCAAGGUUGAAACUCAAAGGAAUUGACGGGGACCCGCACAAGCGGUGGAGCAUGUGGUUUAAUUCGAAGCAACGCGAAGAACCUUACCAAAUCUUGACAUCCUUUGACAACUCUAGAGAUAGAGCCUUCCCCUUCGGGGGACAAAGUGACAGGUGGUGCAUGGUUGUCGUCAGCUCGUGUCGUGAGAUGUUGGGUUAAGUCCCGCAACGAGCGCAACCCUUAAGCUUAGUUGCCAUCAUUAAGUUGGGCACUCUAAGUUGACUGCCGGUGACAAACCGGAGGAAGGUGGGGAUGACGUCAAAUCAUCAUGCCCCUUAGGAUUUGGGCUACACACGUGCUACAAUGGACAAUACAAAGGGCAGCGAAACCGCGAGGUCAAGCAAAUCCCAUAAAGUUGUUCUCAGUUCGGAUUGUAGUCUGCAACUCGACUACAUGAAGCUGGAAUCGCUAGUAAUCGUAGAUCAGCAUGCUACGGUGAAUACGUUCCCGGGUCU